This 497-nucleotide ribosomal RNA is filed under the name uncultured bacterium. RNAcentral's name for it is "partial 16S ribosomal RNA". It matches the Rfam family "Bacterial small subunit ribosomal RNA", at positions 28 to 507 of the family's 1533-position model. The record is from RNAcentral.
GAUGAACGCUGGCGGCGUGCCUAAUACAUGCAAGUCGAGCGAACGGACGAGAAGCUUGCUUCUCUGAUGUUAGCGGCGGACGGGUGAGUAACACGUGGAUAACCUACCUAUAAGACUGGGAUAACUUCGGGAAACCGGAGCUAAUACCGGAUAAUAUUUUGAACCGCAUGGUUCAAAAGUGAAAGACGGUCUUGCUGUCACUUAUAGAUGGAUCCGCGCUGCAUUAGCUAGUUGGUAAGGUAACGGCUUACCAAGGCAACGAUGCAUAGCCGACCUGAGAGGGUGAUCGGACACACUGGAACUGAGACACGGUCCAGACUCCUACGGGAGGCAGCAGUAGGGAAUCUUCCGCAAUGGACGAAAGCCUGACGGAGCAACGCCGCGUGAGUGAUGAAGGUCUUCGGAUCGUAAAACUCUGUUAUUAGGGAAGAACAUAUGUGUAAGUAACUGUGCACAUCUUGACGGUACCUAAUCAGAAAGCCACGGCUAACUACGUG